RNAcentral lists this ribosomal RNA (253 nucleotides) under uncultured bacterium. RNAcentral's name for it is "partial 16S ribosomal RNA". It matches the Rfam family "Bacterial small subunit ribosomal RNA", at positions 524 to 776 of the family's 1533-position model. The record is from RNAcentral.
UACGUAGGGUGCAAGCGUUGUCCGGAAUUAUUGGGCGUAAAGAGCUCGUAGGCGGUUUGUCGCGUCUGCUGUGAAAUCUGGAGGCUCAACCUCCAGCCUGCAGUGGGUACGGGCAGACUUGAGUGGUGUAGGGGAGACUGGAAUUCCUGGUGUAGCGGUGGAAUGCGCAGAUAUCAGGAGGAACACCGAUGGCGAAGGCAGCUCGCUGGGACGGUACUGACGCUGAGGCGCGAAAGCGUGGGGAGCGAACAGG